CUCCAUUACAUCAUAGUAUGCUGACUAGGAGGGGUAAUAAAGGGAGAGUUGGGCAAACAUAUUGAAACAGUCAGUCCAGGGUCUCUGGUAAUCUGUCAAGGUCCUGUGGUCAUCUCUCUCCUUGAUAGUCUCACUAGACAGCAGAAAGCUGGGAAUACUUGUCUGAGAAGCCAGAGAAACCAGGACUUGCCUAAGAACAUCCUGAGAAGCAGUAAUCAGGAAAGUGGUCACGAAACACAAGCCACAGACUGCUGAAUCCAGUGCAAAGAAGGGAAAAGAUCCCUGCUGCUCCCACCAGAACCAUAGCUUUCCAUUCUGAGGGCCGCUAUUGGAUGUCUGAGAGGGGAGAGAGGUCCAGAAAUCUACCCAAAGGCAACUCUGAGGAUCAAUUGGCAGAGAAGUGGUGAGGAAAUAGAAGCCACAGACUGCUGAAUCCCGACUCAAAAGAAAGAUAAGACCCCUGCUAGUCCCUCCAGAACAACAGCUUUCCAUUCCAAGGAAUCUUGGAGAGAAGACUAAACAGGUGUAAUAAAAGGGCUUUCAGAAACAGCUGCUUGAAAUACAAGAAGAGAUGAGAAAGCCAAAGGAGAAAGCAGUUGAGCACGUUGAUUCCUUUGGAAAAUCCCAAAGAAGAGGGCUGCUAAUGGAUGUCUAAGAGGGGAGAGAAUUCUGGGAAUUUACCCAAAGUUCACCCUGAAAUUCACUUGUCAGAAAAGUCAUCGGGAAACACAAUCAACAGACUGCUGAAUCCAGUCCCAAGGGAAAGAAAUGAUUCCUACUGGUCACCCAGGACUGUGGCUUUCCAUUCUGAGCAGCCUGAAGACAAAGAUGAGGCCUGAAGCAAGAGUCCAGUGCAGUUAUUUGUAAACAUGGGGCCAGGGAUAUGAGAGAGCAUCCUCCCAGGAAGGCUAAAGGCCCUUCUUAAUAGGCCCACCCUUAUUCCUACAAAUACUCUAGUUAACAGGAAUCUAAAAGAAAGCACAAAGCAGAAGGUGUCUCCACUCCAACCUGACAUCUUCCAACCUGCUACCAUGGAUCCAACAAAUGUUGCAGUGCAGCAUGGGAUACUCCCACAUGAACCCCACCCAGCCCCUCAGCCAGCCACACACCCAGAGAAGACACUGCCAUGCUCACAUGCAAAUUCUUGUUCCCCCAAAUCACUUCAUAAAAUGUUGUCAUCCCCAUCCAUUGGCAGUUACGGUGGCAGAAGCCCGAAGGCGGCCCACAGAGGCACUUUCAGAUACACAUGCCUGACUGAGGCAGAAGAGUCAUGGCAACCCAAGGCAACACAGGCUGGCAAUAUUCAUUCCUAUGGAAUGCGAUGGUGGAAGAGUCAGACAUCUCUCCUCCUCGACUAGUCUGUGAUGUUCUACCAACCAGAGGGAGAGCGCUUCUCCCCCAACAUGCAAAGAUCAUGGAUAUCUCUCACUCAACUUGUCUCUCUCUGCUUCCACAAAGACUGAAGAAGAGCAAGAAUUAAGAAGCAGGAGCCCAAUUCAAUGUAGCAUUGGGGCUCAGCGUAUAGGGAACAGCUUUCCCUGGAGGGCAAUAAACACUUCAUCACCACCCAAA
Molecule: long non-coding RNA, 1572 nt
Organism: Monodelphis domestica (gray short-tailed opossum)
Lineage: Eukaryota; Metazoa; Chordata; Mammalia; Didelphimorphia; Didelphidae
Source: RefSeq, a predicted model, not a curated record